GGGUUUGAUCCUGGCUCAGAUUGAACGCUGGCGGGAUGCUUUACAAUAUGCAAGUCGAACGGUGCAUGGACUUCGGUCUGGUGUGGCGAGUGGAACGGGUGAGUAAUGUAUCGGAACGCCUAGUAGCGGGGGAUAACUACGCGAAAGCGUAGCUAAUACCGCAUACGCCCUUCGGGGGAAAGCGGGGGACCUUCGGGCCUCGCACUAUUAGAGCGGCCGAUAUCGGAUUAGCUAGCUGGUGGGGUAACGGUCAUCAAGGCGACGAUCCGUAGCUGGUUUGAGAGGACGACCAGCCACACUGGGACUGAGACACGGCCCAGACUCCUACGGAGGAAAAGAAUAUGGAAUUUUUGACAAUGGGGGAAACCUGAUCAGCCAUCCCGCGUGUGCGAUGAAGGCCUUCGGGUUGUAAAGCACUUUUGGCAGGAAGAAACGGCACGGGAUAAUACCGUGCAACUGACGGUACCUGCAGAAUAAGCACCGGCUAACUACGUGCCAGCAGCCGCGGUAAUACGUAGGGUGCAAGCGUUAAUCGGAAUUACAUUGGCGAAGCGUGCGCAGGCGGUUCGGAAAGAAAGAUGUGAAACUCAGAGCUUAACUUUGGAACUGCAUUUAACUACCGAGCUAGAGUGUCAGAGGGAGGUGGAAUUCGCGUAGCAGUGAAAUGCGUGGAGUGUGCGGAGGAACACCGAUGGCGAAGGCAGCCUCCUGAUAACACUGACGCUCAUGCACGAAAGCGUGGGGAGCAAACAGGAUUAGAUACCUCUGGUAGUCCACAGCCCUAAACGAUGUCAACUAGCUGUUGGGGCCUUCGGGCCUGGUAGCGCAGCUAACGCGUGAAGUUGACCGCCUGGGGAGUACGGUCGCAAGAUUAAAACCAAAGGAAUUGACGGGGACCCGCACAAGCGGUGGAUGAUGUGGAUUAUUGAUGCAACGCGAAAAACCUUACCUUAAUCUGACAUGUCUGGAAUCCUGAAGAGAUUUUGGGAGUGUCGUAAGAGGAACUGAACACAGGUGCUGCAUGGCUGUCGUCAGUCGCUGUGUCGUGAGAUGUUGGGUUAAGUCCCGCAACGAGCGCAACCCUUGUCAUUAGUUGCUACGAAAGGGCACCUAAUGAGACUGCCGGUGACAAACCGGAGGAAGGUGGGGAUGACGUCAAGUCCCCAUAUCUUAUGGCAGGGGCUUUCUCACAUUUCAUACAAUGGUCGGGACAGAGGGUCGCCAACCUGCGAGGGGGAGCCAAUCCCCAGAAACCCGAUCGGGGUCCGGAUCGCAGUCUGCAACUCGACUGCGUGAAGUCGGAACGGCAGUGACCGUGGACCAGCACGUCGCGGUGAAUACGUUCCCGGGUCUUGUACACACCGCCCGUCACACCAUGGAGGCAGGGUUUUACCAGUAGCGUAAAGGUCAACUGCGAGGCAUUUACACACGGUAGGAUUCAUGACUGGGGUGAAGUCGUAACAAGGUAGCCUUCACAUACCUGAUGCCCUGCGAGCAUACGUAACCGAAAU
RNAcentral lists this ribosomal RNA (1511 nucleotides) under uncultured Bordetella sp. Its description in RNAcentral is "partial 16S-23S ribosomal RNA intergenic spacer". It matches the Rfam family "Bacterial small subunit ribosomal RNA". The record is from RNAcentral. Lineage: Bacteria; Pseudomonadati; Pseudomonadota; Betaproteobacteria; Burkholderiales; Alcaligenaceae.